RNAcentral lists this long non-coding RNA (15669 nucleotides) under Gossypium barbadense (sea-island cotton). Its description in RNAcentral is "long non-coding RNA (GBAR_LNC002063)". The record is from RNAcentral. Lineage: Eukaryota; Viridiplantae; Streptophyta; Magnoliopsida; Malvales; Malvaceae.
UCUAUGUAUAAGCCCAAAAUUCGGUUGCCUUUAACCCAGAAUACCUAAAACUACCCAUUAACCCAUUUACUCCCAACCCACAAGCAGGAACGACCCAAAUGGCCCAAUGUGUUAACAGAUGAAGGAAGACCUAGGGUUUUUGGAACCCUAGGCGUCGUAAACAGAAAGUUCCAGAAGCCAACCAAACGUCACACCCCUUUAGUUUCCGUCGUUCCAGCUACCCACUAUCAAGGCCACGAUUCUAGGCUCUGAGUCACGCUGUGAUCAACGCCACCGGUGGAUCUACGUCACCAUCACGAUCAUUUCCGGAUUUUCCUUGCUCAUCUGCACACAAAUGAAAGAAAAGCAGCAUACAAAAUAAGAAGGAAUCGAAGGAAAUUAUUCUUACCAAAUAUACUGUAAACAGUGGCUAUAAAAGCCCGAAUCGAAAAAGAUGUAAAGGACUGAUUUUUACGUUUUCAAAAUACGUACAUAGAUUCAAUAAAAAGUUUAUUUUUACAUACAUAUACAGAAAGGAGUACUACAGUCGAUCGAAAUAUGCAAAGGUGAAAUUUUUUAAAAUAUAUGUACAUAUAUAUAUUGCAAAUAAUAAAAAGGAAAGGGAUACCUUUAAUCGGCGUUGAAAGGCGAGGUUUUUAAACCUCUGGCCACCGUAUGCGAUGGAGACGAUGGGGGUGCGUGAGCGCGUGCGCACCCCUGGAUGGAGGUCCGGUGACACUCCGAGAGCCCCUCCCCAACUCUCUUUCAGAGAGUUUCUUUUUUUUUUUCUUUAGAACAGACUUAAAAUGAUUUUAGAACUUAAAAUUUGACUUAUAUAGCCUAGAUGAAACGGUGCCGUUUUGGUUUAAUCCAAUAAGCACAAAACGACGUCGUUUCAAGGCUUAGGAUCCGCGUGUUAACCCGAUGACCCAGGGAGGAUCCGCAUUUUUUUAAAUGGGAAAAUUGCCCAAUUGAUCCUUCCGGUUUAUUAAAUUUUAUAAUUACAUUUUAUUUUAUUUUUAAUUCGGCCCUAAUAUUUUAUAGUUGAUUCAAUUUAGUCCCUAUGGCUGUUGAACUUCAUUCUAUGGAACGACGUCGUUCCUUGGGAAUAGGGUAUUUUUCCCGAUGAGUCCCUCACCUUUUGCGCGUGUUUCAUUUAAAUCCCAGAUUCAGUUUUAUUUUUCUAAUUUCGCCCCUGUAAUUUUAUAAAAUUUUAAAUUUAAUCCUAUGUGUUUUUUAUUAAUUUUUAUAUUAUAUAUUAUUUAUUUUACUCUAAACCUAUAUAUUUUAUUAUAUAAUUAUACAAUUAUUUUCACCUGUUAUUUAUUAUGUAUAUAUAUUAGUUUUUUUAUUAUUAUAUUAUUUAGUAAAUGCUAUUUUGAAAUUAUUAUUAAGUAUUAUGUUUUUAAAUUUGUAUUAUUUAUUAUAUUAUUAUCAUAUGGUGCAUAUAUUUCAUCUACUAUUUUUUAUUAAAAAUUAUUUAUUACAUAUUUUUUUAAAUUUUGUAUCUAUUAUAAACUGUUUUAAAAUUAUGUAUAUUAUAUCAUAUGUUAAAUGGAUUUAAAGAUUUUAUAUAUAUUUUUGUGUAUAUAAUAUUUUUAAAAAAUAUAUAUUAUCUAUUCUAUUUUUAUUCUCUUGAAAGAUCCUAAUAUUCUAUAUUAUUUAUUUAAAAUAUUUAUCAUGUAUAAUAUUUCUAAUUGUUUUAAUAAUAAAGUUUCUUUUUAAAAAAUAUGUUCCUAUGUAUGUUAAAUUGUUAUAUAUCAUUAUAUCCUUUUCUUUUAAAUAUUUUUUCCCUUUUUAUCAAUAUUGAUUGGGUGGUUUAAUUAUUCGUAUUUGUUUUUUUAAAAGUGUUAUUUUGUCACUUUUUAUUAUUACAAAUUUUGAUUUUCACUUUUAUUUUUAUAUUCUUUAAUUUAUUAUGAAUUUUUUGGUAUUUCUAUUUACUAAUAUUGUAUGUAGGUUUAUCUUUUAGCAUAAUCAUCUUAUGAUAUUUCAUUAUUUUAGGUUAUUUCUUAUUUGCCUAUAUUAUUAUGAAUUGUAAAAUGUUGUAAUUUAUUACCUUUGGUGUAUUUGUCUUGUGAUAUAUAUUAACGCUAUUCUUCUGCAUGAGUCAACGUUUUAGAUAAAGAAAUUCAUUUUACCAAAUUCCUCAAAAGUUUUCCAAAAUAAAAGGCAAUGCUUGAUGUUUGGAAACUUCGAGCAAGGUAGUGUCCUAACUUACUGGGUUGCGACUUUUCUCGUUGAAUUCGAAUAGUCAAGCACCUUUCUAAGUGAUUUUGAGUUUUCAAAACUUAAACAAUUAUUUCGAGAUUUCAAAACAUAGUGUCCUAACUUACUGGAUAUGGCGUUUUGUUGUUUCGAGAUAGAAAUUUUUGAAAGCUGAGCUUAGUUUCGAAGGUUUUAAAAUGUUGCGUCCUAACUUACUGGAUGUGAUGUUUUGACUCGUUUGAAAUAAGUGACUUAAUUUUCAAAAUUGAGACAUUCUAAUUAAAAGAGGUUUGCAUCUUAAAAGUUUCAAUUUUCCAACAUUAAAGACACUUGAUAAUCAAUUAGGUACCACUUUUUGGGCGUUACGAGGGUGCUAACCCUUCCUCGUACGUAACCGACUCCCGAAUCCAUUUUCUCGACUUUCGUAGACCAAAAUUAAUAUUUUAAAACAAAACAUUUUAUAAGGUGAUCCAAUCACACCUAAAAAGAUUGGUGGCGACUUCUAUUUUCGUUUUUUUUAAAGUCGAUUCCCAUUCUCCAAAACUAGAUUUAAAAAUGGUUUUGACAGCUUGGCGACUCCGCUGGGGACUAAUAAGAGAGUCAAGCCGUAUAAUUGAUUACCUUUUGUCUUAAUGUCAAAAAUUUGAAAAAUUUUAAAAUUUAAUCCUCUUUGCAUUACAUGUGUUUGUAUUAUUGCAUAUGUUAUAUACUCUGAUACACAUUGCAUUUGCAUGACCGUUGUGGUCACACCCUUAAGUGGGAGUGAGAAACUACGCCUUCGUGAGGUUUUCGCCUCCGUGCAGGAUAGUGGAUCACUUUCGGGAUACAUCCGUACCUAUAGUUUCGUGAGAUUUUCAUCUCCGUGUAGCCAUAGGGAAAUGUAUUCCCCUGAACUGAACUCGAUUCAAAUGAGCCUAUAAUGGGUGAGGAUCGAGGAAUCUGCUGGUUCGGGUACCUCAAACUUUAGAAACAAACUACAUAUAGAAAAAUCGUAAGAGCUCAAUAUAGAUAGAAUUAUACUUAGGUUAUCUUUGUGUUUAUUAAUAUCAUAUGAUACUGAUUGUUUUCUUUCUUUUGUGCAUGUCAUUUUGCAUUUAAAAGGUAUCGAUUCAAGGUCAGUUUCUAAAUUAGAAAGUUUUAUUAUGGAGAACGGACUUCUUGAUAGAGUGGAGGGCAACGCUAACGUCCAUAGAUGGUCUGAGCAAACUCAGCUAGGAAAAGGGGAUAGCAUAACUAUGGGAUAUAUGUCGGAGCUAUCAGACUACACUCGCAUCAGUGUCACACAGAAUAAUCUGCAGGAGUUUAAGGCGAUUUGGGAUCAGUGGGGCAAUGAGACCAAGCAAUCAUUCUACGGUAAGUAUGGAUAUUUACCCUAUUUGUUGGAUAUUCAGGUUGAUGAAAACUUGUUUCGAGCUCUCGCUCAGUUUUGGAACCCAGUAUACAAUUGUUUUACCUUUGGGGAGGUAGAUUUAGUGCCUACUGUGGAGGAGUACAAAGUCUUACUUCGGUGUCUUAGAUUUCAAUGUGAUAGGAUUUAUUCUCGAGCUGCUUGUGUCCCAACCUUUAGUAGGAAGCUAAUGAUCAUUACGGGGAUGAGCGAGCAGUGGAUCACGACUAGAAUUAAGGAAAAGGGUAAGAGUAAGUGCAUUCUAUGGGGAACUUUGAAAGAUCUGAUCCAGACGCAUCCAGCCGAGGCAAAGAGGGUAGACAUUUUUGCCUUAAGCUUAUACGAAUUGAUGGUUUUCCCCAGGGCCUUGGGAUAUAUGGACGAGGCGACUACGAAUCUCUUCCAUCGACUUAGCAAACGGGUCACUUCUGUUCCUUCGAUUUUGGCGAAGACAUUUAGGUCCUUGAAUGCAUGUAGGAGGGCCAGUGCAGGUAGGUUUGUUGGUUGUGCGCAGUUACUUUUAGCUUGGUUCUACAAUCAUUUUCGAUUGAUAGAUAGGGUGGUUUGUCGGGUCUUCUUCGAGGAUUACUCCCCGUUGAAGGACAUAGCAGCUUCAACUAGGAGAGUUGAUGUUCCUGAAAAGAAUUGGAUAGCGCUACUUAAGAAUCUGCAAUCAAAGGAUGUAAAGUGGAGGGCUCCAUGGAUGAUUCCUGGUGAGAUUCUUUACCGAUGCUACAGUUUUGAUUGGGUCCCUCUGUUGGGAAUUUGGGGUGCCAUUGGUUAUGCCCCUUUGCUUGUGCUGAAGCAACAUGGAUUGAGACAGUUCAUACCGGCAACUUACGGUUUGGUUCAGAAUGAGUUCGCGUAUAGAGGAGCCGACUACAAGAGGAAAGUCAGUGAGAUCUGUAGUGCUUGGAACAAAACUUGUCGAUUAAAGGGAGUAGUUAUUAGCCCUGCUACGACUCUGGAGUACGUUGAGUGGAGAAGUAGAAGGAUUAAUGAUAACAUCCCUAAGCCAAGCGUGGAAGGAGCUUGACCGAUGGAGGAAUAUUUGCAAGUGACGCCUUCGGAGUUGGAAAUUAUGAAGCAGGAGUUCGAGAGAAAGAACUUAGAACUCGAGAAAAGGAUAGUAAAGCUAGAAGAAGAAAAUAUAUAUUUGAGCCUAGACGUCGACGUUCAAAAGAUGGAGGUUGAAAAAAAAAAGAAGGAGAAAAGGAAGAUUGAGGAAGAUCAAGAUGAUUUAAAGGAGCAUUUUAAAAGGUCACAAAUAUCCUUGAAAAGAGCGAGAAUAGGAGGGUCUUCAAAUCAGUUGCAGAAAGAGGUCCAAGAGGAAAAAGCUAAAGCCAAAUAUUGGGAGAAGAAGUUCUAAGAGAUACAAUCGGGAAUUUGACCUUAGAAAAAAAAAUCAAGGUUUAAAGACUAAAGUAACUGAGCUCAGGCGAUCCCUUCAUCUGUAUCGAAGUCGUGAUUCUACAGUUGAGGAGUUAGAAUCAGCAUUGCAGAAUAGUAAGCUCCUAAUCGAGCAACUUGGGGUACGAGAAGAUUAUUUAAAGGGAGAGCUUCAUCAGUCUAGAGGACAGGUCAGAGAAAGGGAUCACGUCAUUAGAGAAGCCGUAGCCCAGAUUCGAGAGGUCGCUGAACAUGUACAAGGCUUGGCAAUACGAGCUGAUGUGUUGAGUUUGAUGUAUGAGUCAUCGUCGGAUAUAGUACGAGAGUUAGCCCUUUUAUUAGAUAGAGUUAAAACUUUGGGCAUUAAGGCGAAAGCGUAUUUGUAAUCCUCUUAUGUGUAAAGAUAUUCUUUUUCUAUAUAAAGUUUUCUAAAUGAGAUUGAAUCAGAAUCGAUGUCCUUUUUGCAUCGAUUUCCAUCUCAUAGCAUUUCAUCACAUCGUUUGCAUUCAAAGUUAUAGAAAGACUCUAAUUAGUUAAAAUUACCAGAGGGAGGGAAGCAGAAAAGAAAAUUUGGAAACCACGCAUCAGUACGGAACUCGUGCUAAAUCUAAGAAUAUAGAUCAAAGGUUUGAACAGCUACGAAAGGACAUGCAAGACCAAUUGCAAGAGCAAUUGGCAAAAAUGCAAAAUGACAUGAGGGAGCAGAUGUUAGAAGCUUAGAGGAACAUGAUGGCUGAGAUGGCUCAACAACUGAGGGCCACUGACAAGGGAAAGGCUCCCAUGGCAAUCACUAAAGAGGAGAAUGAGGGUCAUCCUCCUGGUUUCACUCCACCUCACGUACAAACUCAACUUGAGGCAUAUCCUCAAAGGCCGUCUGUCACAAUAAGGCCUUAACAGGGUCAAGUUGAUGCUGGAAUCCCUAUAAAUUUCCCAACUGGCUCGGGAUUUAAUUUGGGUGACAAUCUUGCAAACCCUCUCAUUCCUGACUUAGACAUAGCUGAAAAAGAGGAUUUAAGAACUGAGGUUGCAAGACAGUUGGAAGAACGCUGCAAAUGGUUGGAGGAAAAAUUCAAAACUUUAGAGAAUGUUGAUGGGCAUCAUAGAGUUUAUGCCAAAGAUCUAAGCUUGGUCCCAGAUUUGGUGCUUCCUCACAAAUUCAAAAUGCUAGAAUUUGAGAAGUACAACGGGACUACUUGCCCUGAAGCCCAUAUCACUAUGUUCUGUAGGAGAAUGACUGGGUAUGUGAACAAUGAUCAAUUUUUGAUCCAUUGUUUCCAAGAAAGUUUAAUUGGAGCAACAGCCAAGUGGUACAAUCAAUUGAGCCGGGUCAGAAUAAGUUCAUGGUAGGAUCUUGCCCAAGCCUUUAUGCAGCAGUACAAUCACAUGACCGACAUGACUCCAGAUAGAAUCACUUGCAAAAUAUGGAGAAAAAACCUAAUGAAAACUUUAGGCAAUACGCACAGAGAUGGAGAGAUGUGGCAAUGCAAGUUCAACCACCAUUGUUAGAGAAAGAGACUACCAUAUUGUUCAUCAACACUCUGAAGGCUCCAUUCAUUACCCAUAUGAUUGGGAGUAUUACUAAAAGCUUUGCGGAUAUAGUUAUGGCGGGAGAGAUGAUCGAGAAUGCUAUAAGAGAAGGCAAAAUCAAGGGGGAAACAGCCAAAAGAUCGGCCCAAAGGAGAAAUGACGGGGAAGUGAAUAAUACAAGCACCUAUAACACGAGGGCAAUCACAGUUGAUCAGUCUAAAAUGACUGUGGUUGAGCAACAAAGUUCUCAAAAGAAAGAGUCGAGAACCAGGCAGGACACUGAAAGGAUGCAAUUCACACCUAUUCUCGUGACGUAUCGUGAGCUUUAUCAAAGCUUAUACGAUGCACAUGCUAUUUCUCCUUUCCAUUUGAAACCACUGCAGCCCCCAUAUCCCAAAUGGUAUGACGCAAAUGCCAGGUGUGAAUAUCAUACUGGAAUACCGGGGCAUUCGAUCGAAAAUUGCACCGGUUUCAAGAAAGCCGUAGAGAGGCUUAUUGAGGUGGGGGGUAGUAAAGUUCGACAAUACCCCUAGUUCUGAAAACCCGCUGCCAAAUCAUGGCGAUCAAGGAGUGAAUGCCAUUGGAGAAACCAGUGAGAGAAGAGUGAAGGAAGAUGUUGCUGAGGUGAGGAUGUCUAUGAAGGUGAUCUAGAAGGAGAUGAUGAAGAGAGGUAUGUUAACCUCUAAAAAUGAGAAAGGAGAAAUAAGGAACUAUGGUGAGUUCCAUGAGAAAGAAGGAUAUGAAACUCAAGACUGUGAAGAAUUCAAGGCCUUGGUGCAAGGCUUUAUAGACAAUAAAGAGCUACAGAUUUUUGAAGGUAGCUCUAGUAAAAAAGAAGUAUGUGUGCUGGAGGAUGAACAACAAAGAACCAGUCGGCCAAAGAUUAUUAUUUCCUUGCAGGGGAAUAAUAAAGUAGGGGCACAAGUAGUGCCUAAGGUCAUAAUCCAUAAACCUGUGUCCUUCCCUUAUAAGGAUAACAAGAGGGUACCAUGGAGUUAUAACUGCCAUGUGUCAUUGCUGGAGAAAGAGGAUGUAGCCAGUACGUCCAAGGAUUUACAAAUUGAAGGUUCCCAUACAUAGAAUGGGAAGCGGUAUGAUACGAUGGGUGUCAAAGAGGAGCCCAUAAAAAUAAAGAAUGUUAGUGUAGAGAAUAAAAAAGAAGCUGAAGUGCCGGUCAAUGAGCCAGUAAAGGAGGAGGAGGCUAAGGAAUUUCUAAAGUUCCUUAAGCAUAGCGAGUAUAGUGUAGUGGAGCAGUUGUGUAAGCAGCCGGCUCGCAUAUCAGUUUUGGCUCUACUUCUGAGUUCUGAUGCGCAUAGGGAGGCAUUGAUAAAGGUGCUUAACGAGACAUAUGUCACCCAUGACAUAUCCGUUAACAAGCUGGAUCGGUUGGUGAACAACAUUAGCGCGGACAAUUUCAUCCACUUUAAUGAUGAUGAAAUUCCACCAGGGGGUAGGGGGUCAACUAAGGCCUUGCACAUUACCACUCGAUGCAAGGGGUACACACUCCCAAGCGUGCUUGUCGAUAAUGGAUCAGCCCUGAAUGUUCUAUCGUUGUCUACAUUAAACAGAUUACCCAUUGAUGAUUCUCACAUGAAAACAUGUCAAAAUGUGGUAAGAGAGUUCGAUAGUACAGAAAGGAAUGUGAUGAGAAGGAUUGACAUCCCCUUGGAAAUCGGGCCGAAUAUAUAUGAAGUAGACUUCUUAGUGAUGGAUAUCAAGCCAUCUUACAAUUGCUUAUUAGGAAGGCCAUGGAUACACUCAGCGGGAGCGGUGCCCUCAUCGUUGCACCAGAAAUUAAAGUUAGUGACGGAUGGACGGUUAGUAACCAUCAAUGCAGAGGAGGACAUUAUAGCUGCAGUCACUAGCAAGGCCCCUUAUAUCGAGACAAAUGAGGAAUCUAAUGAGUGUUCCUUUCGCUCUUUAGAGUUUGUAAAUGCAACCUUCAUUUCGGAGGGGAGUGAGUUACUGGUACUAAAGAUAGCAAGAGCUACGAGGAUGGCUCUACAAAUGAUGGCAGGAAAGGGAACUUCACUAAAAAGAGGGUUAGGAAAAUAUUUACAAGGAGGGACUCAAAUCCCUGGAUUUAAAGAGAAAAGAGAUCGCUUUGGUCUAGGUUUCAAACUAGAUUAUAAGCAAAGGAAGAGGGAGAUUGAGAAGCGCCAAGAGGAAAGAAGGGCGCGCCUUAAUAGAAGAGAAAUAGAUGGGAGUCGAUGACAUUCCCUCCAAUAUCCCGAACCUUCAUAUCGAGAGGGUUACUCAUAGAAGGAAGUCAUCAGAUUAAUGUUGUACAAGAGGAAAUAUCGGAGCAAGGAAACCUUGAGGGCAUUUGUCCUUACGAAUCGGGAAGGUCUUUGAAUAAUUGGACUGUGGAGGAACUUCCUGUAGUCUUUAGGAAUUCUUCAGAGUAAUUCUCGAAACAUUCUUGUUACUCUAGAGCCUAGGAGUAAUAGAAUUACAUUUGUGAAAUAGGCUUAUGAUCAUUUAUUAUUUUCUUAAUAAAAUAUAACUUUUAUCAAUUUGAACGAGUAUUGUUUCAUUUUUAUCAACCAAUAUUCCAUUAAACUUUGAAAAUUCUUAUCCUUUCAUUCAUAGCAUAUAAAUAAUCAUUCUUCAAUUCAUUCAUUCUUUGUAUAUUCUUUAUACUUCUCAGAUUCCUAGAUAUCAAUGACAUGAGCACUGAUAUCACAGAUCCUGAUUUCUCUCGUGAGCAAGACGUGUGUUUAGAAGAAUCUCAGGAUUUUGAAGAUGUCCAAGAUAAUGAUGUGUCUUUGGAUCUUUUGAGAAUGGUAAAGUAGGAGGAGAAACAAAUCAUGCCACAUGAGAAAGAGGCAAUAGAGAAUGUAGCCCUAAAGGAAGGAAAAGAGGUGAAAAUUGGCAUGCAUAUUAACGAAGACACAAGGCAAAAACUGAUUGAGUUGCUUUGUGAGUUCAAGGAUAUAUUCGCAUGGUCCUAUCAAGAUAUGCCAGGUUUAAAUAUCGAUAUUUUGGUGCAUCGUCUCCCAAUAAGACAGGAUUGUAAGCCAGUCCAACAGAAGUUGUGAAGAAUGAGGCUAAAUAUCGCGUUGAAAAUAAAGGACAAAGUCAAAAAGCAGUUCGAUGCAGGAUUCUUACAAGAGGUGAAGUAUUCUGAAUGGGUAGCUAACAUUGUACCAGUGCCUAAGAAGGAUGGGAAAGUACGAAUGUGUGUUGAUUUAAAGAUCUGAACAAGGCUAGCCCGAAAGAUAAUUUUCCUUUGCCAUACAUAGACACUUUGGUAGACAAUACAGCGGGAUAUUCGUUGUUCUCCUUCAUGGAUGGUUUCUCAGGGUACAAUCAGAUAGAGAUGCAUCCUGAGGACAUGGAUAAAACCACCUUCAUAACAUUAUGGGGUACCUUCUGUUACAAAGUAAUGCCCUUUGGAUUGAAAAAUACAGGGGCAACAUACCAGAGGGCUAUAGUGACCUUAUUUCACGAUAUGAUGCAUAAGGAAAUUGAGGUGUAUGUUGAUGAUAUGAUUGCUAAAUUUCAGACAGUGAAUGGACAUAUUGAAGUGUUGAGGAAGUUGUUCUGAGAUUAAGAAAAUUUCAGUUGAAGCUUAAUCCGGCAAAGUGCACCUUUGGAGCUAGGUCAAGAAAGUUAUUAGGUUUUGUGGUCAGUGAAAAGGGAUAGAAGUUGAUUCAGACAAGGUUAGAGCAAUACGAGAUUUGCCUCUACCACGUACUCAGAAGGAAGUUCAGGGUUUUCUUGGAAGGUUGAAUUAUAUUCCUCGGUUCAUUUCACAAUUAACUGAGAAAUGUGAUCCUAUAUUUUGCCUCCUUAGAAAACACAACCAAGGUACUUGGGAUGAGGAAUGCCAGAAUGCUUUCGAUAAGGUUAAGCAAUACUUGUUAAAUGUUGCAGUGUUAUCUCUGCCUAUUUUAGAUAAACCAUUAAUUCUGUAUUUGUCAGUGUUUAGUAAUUCCAUGGGAUGUGUGCUUGGUCAACAUGAUGAGUCAGGAAGAAAGGAGAAAGCAAUAUAUUACCUCAGUAAGAAAUUCACUUAGUGUGAAUUGAGAUAUUCACCAAUUAAAAAAUUAUGUUGUGCUUUGAUUUGGACAACUCGAAGGUUAAGACAAUCUAUGCUAUAUCACACGACUUGGCUAAUUUCAAAACUUGAUCCUCUGAAGUAUAUGAUGGAGUCAACAGCUUUAAAUGGAAGAAUGGCAAGGUGGCAAAUUCUGCUUUCAGAGUUUGACAUAGUUUAUGUGAGCCAGAAGGCUAUAAAAGGAAGUGCGAUAGCGGAAUUUCUGGCUAGUAGAGCUCUAGAAGACUAUGAGCCAUUGAAUUUUGAUUUCCCAAAUGAGGAGUUAAUGUGUGUAGCAACCACAGAAUUGUCCUUGGAAGUUGAGCUUUGAUGGGGCAUCCAAUGUAGUGGGAAAUGGAAUUGGAGCAGUCCUCAUAUCCUCAGAUGGCGAUUAUUAUUCAUUCACAUGCAAGUUAGAUUUUGAUUGUACAAACAAUAUGGCCUAGUAUGAAGCAUGCAUUAUGGGACUUCGAGCGGCUAUAGAGCGAGGAAUAAGAAUCUUGGAAGUAUAUGGGACUCUGCGUUGGUAAUUUACCAGCUUAAAAGUGAAUGGGAGACAAGAGAUCAUAAACUGAUCAAUUAUCGAAAGGUAGUUUUGGGGUUAUUUGAGGAGUUCGAUGACAUCACUUUCAAUUAUAUCCCACGAGACGAAAAUCAGAUGGCAGAUGCUCUAGCAACCUUGGCUUCAAUGAUCAAAGUGAAUAAAGAGGAGGAGAUGAGACCCAUUCAGAUGAGUAUUUUUGAGGCUCCAACUAGUUGUUGUAACAUCAAUGAAGAAGAAAAGGAUGAUAAUCCUUGGUAUUUGGAUAUAUUACGAUAUGUAAGAGAUCGUAAAUACCCAUAACAGACAACUGAAAAUUAUAAUCGAACUUUAAGGAGGUUAGCUUGUGAUUAUGUUUUGAACGGGAACAUCUUGUACAAAAGAAGAAAUGACCAAGUACUAUUGAGAUGUGUUGACGCCGUGGAAGCUAAGUUAAUCUUGGAAGAAGUUCACGAGGGUGUUUGUGGGAUGCACGCUAAUGGUUUCACGAUGGCUAGACAAAUCAUGAGGUUUGGAUAUUAUUGGUCUACUAUGGAAGGGGAUUGUAUCAAUUACGCCAAGAAAUGCCAUAAAUGUCAGAUUUAUGGAGACAAGAUUCAUGUACCACCUUCACCUCUACGUGUUAUGACUUCUCGAUGGCCUUUUUCUAUGUGGGGCAUGGAUGUCAUUGGGCCAAUAUCACCAAAAGCUUCAAAUGGACACCGCUUUAUUUUCGUGGUCAUUAAUUACUUCACGAAGUGGGUAGAGGCUACUUCUUAUGCAAAUGUUACUAAGUCAAUUGUAAGUCAUUUUUUGAAGAAAGAGAUCAUUUGUCGAUAUGGGAUGCCUGAGAGGAUCAUAUCAGACAAUGCAUUGAACUUGAACAACAAAACGAUAGCAAAAGUUUGUAGUCAGUUCAAGAUUAAGCAUCAUAAUUCAUCUCCAUAUCGCCCAAAGAUGAAUGGGGCAGUGGAAGCUGCUAACAAAAAUAACAAAAAAAUAGUGUGGAAAAUGACUGAAACCUACAGAGAUUGGCAUGAGAAGUUACCAUUUGCACUCUUAGCCUAUAGAACGUCCGUCAGAACCUCUACUGGGGCAACUCCUUUCUCGUUGGUUUAUGGGAUGGAAGCAGUGUUACCCAUUGAAGUAAAGAUACCGUCUCUCCGAGUCCUGUCAGAAAUAAGGUUGGAUGAGGCUGAAUGGAUACAAUCACGAUAUGACCAGUUGAACUUGAUUGAAGAAAAAAGGCUAAAAGCUAUUUGCCAUGGUCAGAUGUAUCAAAAGCGAAUGAUGCGAGCUUACGACAAGAAGGUUCGUCCAAGAGAGUUCUAUGAGGGGGACCUUGUACUAAAAAAGAUCCUUCCCAUUCAGAAGGACUUUAGAGGAAAAUGGAUGCCAAAUUGGGAAGGGCCAUAUGUCGUGAAGAAGGCUUUCUCUAGGGGAGCAUUGAUCUUAACAGAAAUGGAUGGGAAGAAUUUACCCAGUCCAGUGAAUUCAGACUCAGUCAAAAAGUACUUUGUCUAAAGAAGAGGAGAAUUCAGGGUGAAAAUUUGCAAAGGGCGCCUUGAUUUUUUGAAAAAAAAGAGAAAAAAAAAGAAAAAUAGAGAGGCCAAGGUGAAAACCCGCAAAGGGCGCUUUGUGACCAAAGGGGUUUUGAGUUGAAAACCCGAAAGGGCAGCUCAAAUUUUGAGAAACACACAGUAAUUUUGCUAUAUCUGAUUCAACGAAGAGUGAAGCGCAUUGCAUAUCGGGGUAUCGACAAAGUACUUUGGGUCUUUUAAACACGUGUUGAAUUCAAGAAAGUCUUCAUAGAACUGGCACAUAAACGCUUAAGCGGCGAUAUCUAGGGCAUCUAACUUUUGUCCUUUUUGUUAUCUUUAGAUUCUUAUUCUUCUCAAAGAUAAGCUUUCAGAUUAAUUUCCUUUGUAUUCUUGACAAAUUUAUUCAAAUCUAGUUAUUAUCAAGAUUGAAUUCAUUUUCCACUAUUCUUAAAAGUGCGUUGCAUUAAAUAAUGAUAGAUGAACUGAACAAUUUUCACAAAUGAAAUUUUGAUCAUUACUCUGAAAGUUUCUAGAAAAUACAAAACACUAAAACAGAAUAAUUGUUCAAGGAAUUCACGUAGGUGAGGUUCGAAAGAACUAGAGGGAAUUCUUUCUUUGGUCCAAAAUGAUGAUUGGACAAAUCAAACGAUUCGAUCCUAAGAGAGGAUUAUCUUACAAAUAUCUUUGGGUCAUAGCAUUUGAAGAAUGGUACAAACCCAUGGGCUGAGUAAAGAAUGAUAUUUCGAGAGAAAUAAGGGUGAGCUUGGAUGAAAGAAUGAGUAGUGACGUUUGAAUAGGGGUCAUAUUCAUAAAUAUUUUGCAUUAUAACAGGUUUAAUUAGGAACAUUUGACCCUUUUUAAUCAUAAACAUUCUAAUCAAUAGGCAUGAAUUCAUACAUAUUAUACAAGUUGUGUCCUUCAAGGGAUAAUGAAGAUUGGUGCGCCUUAACCCCUAAGCAGUAGGGUAAUAGGCUAAAGCAUAGCAGAUCUGACCUUCAAGUAUUUACACUGAAGCAGAUCCAGGAUGAUUUGGCAUCUCUGUAUUGGCAGAGAGCAGAUCGAAGAUAACAGAUUUGGCAUCUCUGUAUUGGCAGGGAGUAGAUCAAAGACAUAGUUGAUUUGACUUUCACGUGUUUACGUUGAAGCAAAUCUAAAAUGAUUUGGCAUCUCUGUAUUGGCAGAGAGCAGAUGGAAGGCAGCAGAUUUGGCAUCUCUAUAUUGGCAGAGAGCAGAUCGAAGAUAACAGAUUUGGCAUCUCUGUAUUGGCAGGGAGCAGAUUGAAGACAUAGUUGAUUUGGCUUUCACGUGUUUACGUUGAAGCAAAUCUAAUAUGAUUUGGCAUCUCUGUAUUGGCAGAGAGCAGAUCGAAGACAGUAGAUUUGGCAUCUCUGUAUUGGCAGAGAGCAGAUCGAAGAUAACAGAUUUGGCAUCUCUGUAUUGGCAGGGAGCAGAUCGAAGACAUAACUGAUUUGGCUUUCACGUGUUUACGUUGAAGCAAAUCUAAGAUGAUUUGGCAUCUCUGUAUUGGCAGAGAGCAGAUCGAAGACAACAGAUUUGGCAUCUCUGUAUUGGCAGAGAGUAGAUCGAAGAUAACAGAUUUGGCAUCUCUAUAUUGGCAGGGAGCAGAUCGAAGACAUAGUUGAUUUGGCUUUCACGUGUUUACGUUGAAGUAAAUCUAAGAUGAUUUGGCAUCUUUGUAUUGGCAGAGAGCAGAUCGAAGAUACCAAAUUUGGCGUCUCUGUAUUAUCAGGGAGCCAAUCGAAGACAUAGCUGAUUUGGCUUUCACGUGUUUACGUUGAAGCAAAUCUAAGAUGAUUUAGCAUCUCUGUAUUGGCAGAGAGCAAAUCUAAGAUAACAGAUUUGGCAUCUCUGUAUUGGCAGAAAGUAGAUCGAAGAUGAUUUGGCGUCUCUGUAUUGUCAAAGAUCAAAUCGAAGACGAUAGAUUUGGAGUCUCUGUAUUGUCAGGGAGCAGAUUGAAAAUGAUAGAUUUUGCGUCUCUGUAUUGUCGGAAAGCGGAUCAAAGAUAGUAGAUUUGGGCGUCUCUGUAUUGUCAGAGGGCAGAUCGAAGUUAACAAAUUUGGCAUCUUUGUGUUCAACGGAGAGGAGAUCGAAGUAUCAGCAUGACAGUCUUAAGUUUACAAAGAGCAGAUUGAAGACAAAGAUCUGAUAGGACCGGGCAAAUUUGGUCUGUUUAUAAGUCUUUGCUCGAUUCCCGUUACACAACAAUGAGCAAAGAGGGGCAGCUGUAAUAGCCCAAAUCUACCCGGGCCCAUAAUUAAAUAAAUAAAUUUUUAUUUGUUUUUUAACAGUCCAUGUACAAGCCCAAAAUUUGGUUGCCUUUAACCCAAAAUACCUAAAACUACCCAUUAACCCAUUUACACCCAACCCACAAGCAGGAACGGCCCAAAUGGCCCAAUGUGUUAACAAAUGAAUGAAGACCUAGGGUUUUUGGAACCCUAGGCGCCGUAAACAGAAAGUUCCAGAAGCCAAGCCAAACAUCACGCCCCUUCAGUUUCCGUCGUUCCAGCUACCCACCAUCAAGGCCACAAUUCCAGGCUCCGAAUCACGUCUUGAUCAACGCCACCGGUGGAUCUACGGCACCAGCACGAUCAUCGCUGGAUUUUCCUCGCUCAUCUGCACACAAAUGAAAGAAAAGCAACAUACAAAAUAGGAAGGAAUCGAAGAAAAGUAUUCUUACCAAAUAUACUGUAAACAGUGGCUAUAAAAACCCAAAUCGAAAAAGAUGUAAAGGACCGAUUUUUACGUUUUUGGAAUACGUACACAGAUUCAAUAAAAAGUUUAUUUUUACAUACAUAUAUAGAAAGGAGUACUACAGUCGAUCGAAAUACGCAAAGGUGAAAUUUUUUAAAAUAUAUGUACAUAUAUAUAUUGCAAAUAAUAAAAAGGAAAGGGAUACCUUUAAUCGGCGUUGAAAGCGAGGUUUUUAAACCUCUGGCCACCGUAUGCGGUGGAGACGACGGGGGCGCGUGAGCUCAUGCCACCCCUGGACGGAGGUCCGGUGACACUCCGAGAGCCCCUCCCCAACUCUCUUUCAGAGAGUUUCUUUUUUUUUCUU